AAUAGUGAAACAGAUUAGCAGUAGGGCCACCAAGACAGUACACCCAACCCUAAUUCAGAGAUGUCUCAGUUUAUCAGUUUUCUGUCAAUCAUUAAAACAAGAUGAAUGAAACAUACAAUUAUAUACAAGGAGAUAGAACUCCUAAUUCUUUCAUCUUAGCUGAAGCAUAAGUUUUAAUUGCUUAGAAAAAUAAGGUUUUUUGUUU
Unclassified non-coding RNA from Cavia porcellus (domestic guinea pig), 205 nucleotides. NCBI's taxonomy places the organism in Eukaryota, Metazoa, Chordata, Mammalia, Rodentia, Caviidae. The record is from Ensembl.